Carassius auratus (goldfish) is the source of this 1276-nucleotide long non-coding RNA. RefSeq lists it as uncharacterized. NCBI's taxonomy places the organism in Eukaryota, Metazoa, Chordata, Actinopteri, Cypriniformes, Cyprinidae. The transcript is spliced from 2 exons. The record is from RefSeq and is a predicted model, not a curated record.
CACGUGACCACUGGGCCAUCCAAAUCAUGGAUGGAGACCGCAGCACAUCUCCCUCCGUAGCGGGGGGAAGUUAAAGAGACAACGGUUAAUGGAAACUUGUCGGGAAAUGCCGUUUAGCUGAAGACUCUUGCCAGCCAAUCAGCGCUCGGAGGAGGCGGGGCUUUUGUGUCAUCACGACCUCAGCAGCAGCGGAGAGCCAAUGAGCCACGACCUCACGUCGCAGCAAGGACAGUGAGACCCACAGACCGGGUUUGCUUCCUUUGACUAACUAACACCACAUACAAGUAAACAUUGGGUUAUAACAUGUAUUGUGUUAAAGAGAAAGUUUAGGAUGUUUUGUAUGUUCAGUACUGAUUACAAUUAAAAGAAGGCAUACAUAAUAUGGCUCUAGAAACAAAACUUAUAUAAAAAUGUAGCCCAGUGACACAAUUUGCCCCAAACAGUGUCAAGGGCUGAGUUGAAUCAUUAGGGUAUAUCUCAUUCCAAAAAGUAAUUUUGAUGAACUUGUUUAAAGUACCAUUUACUUGCAUUAUAAAAACUCACAGAGGUCAAUUAAUACUCAGAUAUUUAAACCGUGAAGAGAAAUCAACAUUUUGUUAUAGUAUCUGUAUUAUUAUUAAUUAUAGAUAAACCACAUCUUUCAAUAACAGGCAGCAGCAUUUAAUGUUGUUUUGUUUUUUCUCUAAAUGUAUGGUCAUAUGACGAAAAUAUGCUAUAUUAAGCAAUAACAUAGCAGAUAUGUAUUUCAGAGGGAGAGGGAACAAGAUUGGAGAGUUUUGCUGAAACGAUCACAACUGGUCUCAGGAGACUCGUGACAUGUUUGUUAAUAUACCAAGAGAAUCCAGAAAGACUGCAGUUAUGAAUUUCUUUGAAUCUGAUUCCAUAGAUUCAAAUUACAGUUGAAAUUCUGCAUUUUGUUUUAAUUCACACUAUUAAACUUAAUUAAAAUUCAAAAGACAUACUUCUCUCAACUGUGAAAGGGCACACAACUCAGCUGGGUUAGAGAAAGACUUAACCGCACUACUUCCACACAAUUAAAUUGCAUUAAGCACAAAAUUAGUUUUUCCAAUUUAGCAGACUUUAGGUAUACCAGUUUAGUAUACCAAAAAUACAAUUGCAGUAUAUAUUUUUUUAUUAAGCACAUAGAAGUAUUUGUAGUAUACUUAGCACAAAACUAAUGCAUUUCAAAUAUAUAUAUAUUUUUUACUAGGGUCUUAUCUAUAUGUUAAACAGGAUAAACAGCUAUUUGUUUGUAGCAACAAAAUCUUAAUGCACC